This 102-nucleotide transfer RNA is filed under the name Citrobacter freundii. Its description in RNAcentral is "tRNA-Leu". It matches the Rfam family "tRNA". From Rfam's summary of the family: Transfer RNA (tRNA) molecules are approximately 80 nucleotides in length. Their secondary structure includes four short double-helical elements and three loops (D, anti-codon, and T loops). Further hydrogen bonds mediate the characteristic L-shaped molecular structure. tRNAs have two regions of fundamental functional importance: the anti-codon, which is responsible for specific mRNA codon recognition, and the 3' end, to which the tRNAs corresponding amino acid is attached (by aminoacyl-tRNA synthetases). tRNAs cope with the degeneracy of the genetic code in two manners: having more than one tRNA (with a specific anti-codon) for a particular amino acid; and 'wobble' base-pairing, i.e. permitting non-standard base-pairing at the 3rd anti-codon position. The record is from RNAcentral. RNAcentral also lists the same sequence under 1 other name. Lineage: Bacteria; Pseudomonadati; Pseudomonadota; Gammaproteobacteria; Enterobacterales; Enterobacteriaceae.
UGCGGCGUAACUCAAUCGGUAGAGUAACGCAUCAACGUCGUGCUCGGUACGGCAUGAUGUUGACGCCUGACGAGAGUGCUGGUUCGAGUCCAGCAGCCGCAA